Molecule: transfer RNA, 87 nt
Filed under: Candidatus Woesearchaeota archaeon
Lineage: Archaea; Nanobdellati; Candidatus Woesearchaeota
Description: tRNA-Ser
Rfam family: tRNA
About the family: Transfer RNA (tRNA) molecules are approximately 80 nucleotides in length. Their secondary structure includes four short double-helical elements and three loops (D, anti-codon, and T loops). Further hydrogen bonds mediate the characteristic L-shaped molecular structure. tRNAs have two regions of fundamental functional importance: the anti-codon, which is responsible for specific mRNA codon recognition, and the 3' end, to which the tRNAs corresponding amino acid is attached (by aminoacyl-tRNA synthetases). tRNAs cope with the degeneracy of the genetic code in two manners: having more than one tRNA (with a specific anti-codon) for a particular amino acid; and 'wobble' base-pairing, i.e. permitting non-standard base-pairing at the 3rd anti-codon position.
Source: RNAcentral
GCCACCGUGGCACAACCUGGUACUGCGCAAGGUUGCUAACCUUGUUUCCUGUUAAAGGAUUUCCCGGUUCAAAUCCGGGCGGUGGCG